GCCCGGAUGGUCUAGUGGUAUGUUUUCAUAUAUUUCGCCACUUUAAAUGUCCCCACUAACAACGGAACCAGGUAUGAUUCUCGCUUUGGGUGCGAGAGGUCGCGCGUUCGACUCGCGCUUCGGGCC
This 126-nucleotide transfer RNA is filed under the name Aspergillus udagawae. Its description in RNAcentral is "tRNA-Pro". The record is from RNAcentral. Lineage: Eukaryota; Fungi; Ascomycota; Eurotiomycetes; Eurotiales; Aspergillaceae.